Molecule: long non-coding RNA, 616 nt
Organism: Neofelis nebulosa (Clouded leopard)
Lineage: Eukaryota; Metazoa; Chordata; Mammalia; Carnivora; Felidae
Exons: 3
Source: RefSeq, a predicted model, not a curated record
CACUCCAGGGAACAAGAGUUACAAGUGAGGAAAACAUUAUUAUGCAGAAGAAAUUCCCCAAAUUGUGCUACAAAAGCUUCAGUCAGUUCACUCUGAGCUGAGACUCAACAUUUGGAGUUGUCCUAAAUUGAAACAAGGGGCCAGGUCUUUGUAUAUAAACUCCUUGACCACUCAGUGCAGAAAGGCUACGCCCAGCCAGGGGCUACCAAGGGCCAGGCAGCUUCCUUUAUUGGAGGACAAUUUACAGAAAGGGAUAGCCCUGAGCCUAAUGCAGCCAACACUCCUAGCAGCUUGGGGAUUGAGGACCACAUCUUGAAAGGUGUAUCACACGACCUGCUACAUUUGGCCACUAGGGGCGCUGGAGCGCAGUGCAGCAGAGAACACAGGUCCCGGACUAAGGGAAAGACACAAUGAUGAAUCAAAUACAGUUCCUGUUUUCAAAAGCCUCAGGUUUAACUGUGAAGAUAAAUAAUUGAGCAGAUAGAAAAUUGAAAUACAAGAUUUGCUACCCAAUGAAUUCAGACAUGCUUCAUAUAAUAGCCAAGCAAUGAUAUUCUCCUCUCUUUGUAAGCUCCCUGCCCAGAAUUACAGCUUCAGUAACAAACUGACUGGGUAA